RNAcentral lists this ribosomal RNA (685 nucleotides) under uncultured bacterium. RNAcentral describes it as "bacterial SSU rRNA". It matches the Rfam family "Bacterial small subunit ribosomal RNA", at positions 61 to 729 of the family's 1533-position model. The record is from RNAcentral.
GUUGAGCGAUGAAGAUUGGUGCUUGCACCAAUUUGAAGAGCAGCGCACUGGUGAGUAACGCGUGGGGAAUCUGCCUUUGAGCGGGGGACUUCAUUUGGAAACGAAUGCUAAUACCGCAUAACAACUUUGAACAUAAGUUUUAAGUUUGAAAGAUGCAAUUGCAUCACUCAAAGAUGAUCCCGCGUUGUAUUAGCUAGUUGGUGAGGUAAAGGCUCACCAAGGCGAUGAUACAUAGCCGACCUGAGAGGGUGAUCGGCCACAUUGGGACUGAGACACGGCCCAAACUCCUACGGGAGGCAGCAGUAGGGAAUCUUCGGCAAUGGACGAAAGUCUGACCGAGCAACGCCGCGUGAGUGAAGAAGGUUUUCGGAUCGUAAAACUCUGUUGGUAGAGAAGAACGUUGGUGAGAGUGGAAAGCUCAUCAAGUGACGGUAACUACCCAGAAAGGGACGGCUAACUACGUGCCAGCAGCCGCGGUAAUACGUAGGUCCCGAGCGUUGUCCGGAUUUAUUGGGCGUAAAGCGAGCGCAGGUGGUUUAUUAAGUCUGGUGUAAAAGGCAGUGGCUCAACCAUUGUAUGCAUUGGAAACUGGUAGACUUGAGUGCAGGAGAGGAGAGUGGAAUUCCAUGUGUAGCGGUGAAAUGCGUAGAUAUAUGGAGGAACACCGGUGGCGAAAGCGGCUCUC